This is a small nuclear RNA of Nycticebus coucang (slow loris), 107 nucleotides long. The record is from RefSeq and is a predicted model, not a curated record. Lineage: Eukaryota; Metazoa; Chordata; Mammalia; Primates; Lorisidae.
GAGUGUACACAGACUCAUGUAGGAAACCUGUAUAAAAUACUGAUUUCCAGUUAGCAUGGCCCCUACGCAAGGAUGACAUGCAAAUUCAUGAAGCAUUCCAUAUUUUU